AGGAAGGAGAAGUCGUAACAAGGUUUCCGUAGGUGAACCUGCGGAAGGAUCAUUGUCGAGACCGAAAAAUAUAUAUCGAGCGAUUCGAACAACCUGUGAAAUGAACGAACUACCGUCUCGGUCGUCGCCCCCGACUCUCCUUUGAGGUGAAGGGGCACGACGGAGGAUGGAUGAACCACAAACUGGCGCAGCAUCGCGCCAAGAAAAGAUUGAAAUGCGCGAGCCCUGUGUCGGGCUCGGUGACGUGGAGUGGUGGUGCGCUCCAAGUGGAUAUACACGACUCUCGGCAAUGGAUAUCUCGGCUCUUGCAUCGAUGAAGAGCGCAGCGAAAUGCGAUACGUGGUGCGAAUUGCAGAAUCCCGUGAACCAUCGAGUCUUUGAACGCAAGUCGCGUCUGAGGCCAGCCGGCCAAGGGCACGUCUGCCUGGGCGUCAGGCGUUGCGUCGCUCCGUGCUAGCUGUCCCGCCAAUGGGCGUGUCGGGCGAGCCUCGGAUGUGCAGAGUGGCACGUCGUGCCCGUUGGUGCGGCGAGCUGAAGAGCAGGUUUCGUCUCAAUGGCCGCGAACAAUAAAGGGUGGGUGUAAGAUGUGAGCGCAACCUGUGUUGUCUCGUGUCUGCCCGAGAGACGAAUUGUGCCUUUGAUGUGAUCCCCGACCAUGCGCCGCUCGGCAUGAGGCGGCUUGGGAUGCGACCCCAGGAUGGGCGAGGCCACCCGCCGAGUUUAAGCAUAUCAAUA
Molecule: ribosomal RNA, 735 nt
Filed under: Aspasia lunata
Lineage: Eukaryota; Viridiplantae; Streptophyta; Magnoliopsida; Asparagales; Orchidaceae
Description: eukaryotic LSU rRNA
Rfam family: 5.8S ribosomal RNA (bases 279-434)
Source: RNAcentral